RNAcentral lists this ribosomal RNA (465 nucleotides) under uncultured bacterium. RNAcentral describes it as "partial 16S ribosomal RNA". The stretch from base 50 to 465 matches the Rfam family "Bacterial small subunit ribosomal RNA", at positions 39 to 507 of the family's 1533-position model. The record is from RNAcentral.
GGGGGGGGGGGGGGGGGGGGGGGGGGGGGGCGGGGCGGGCGGGGGGGGGGGGGUGGGGGUGCGCGGGGGGCGGGGGGGGGGGUCGCACGGGGUUAACCUUCCCGUGGCUUCGUGGUGCGGUCCGGAAAGGGGGGCUAAUCGCGUAUAGUCAUCCUUGUUGCCGGGUGGGGUUUGGGAUGAUUCGGCGGUUUUUGCUGGACUCGCGUCGUUGUAGCUUGUUGGUGGUGUAGUUGCGUACCAAGGCGUUGACUGGUUGUCGGCCUGAGAGGGCGACCGGCCACAUUGGGACUGAGAUACGGCCCAGACUCCUACGGGAGGCAGCAGUGGGGAAUAUUGCACAAUGGGCGGAAGCCUGAUGCAGCAACGCCGCGUGCGGGGUGACGGCCUUCGGGUUGUAAACCGCUUUCAGCAGGGGCGAAGCUUGUGGUGACGGUACCUGCAGAAGAAGCACCGGCUAACUACGUG